GGAGUGGUAGUUCAGUUGGUUAGAAUACCGGCCUGUCACGCCGGGGGGGGUCGCGGGUUCGAGUCCCGUCCACUCCG
This 77-nucleotide transfer RNA is filed under the name Vibrio sp. JCM 18905. RNAcentral's name for it is "tRNA-Asp". It matches the Rfam family "tRNA". Rfam says of the family: Transfer RNA (tRNA) molecules are approximately 80 nucleotides in length. Their secondary structure includes four short double-helical elements and three loops (D, anti-codon, and T loops). Lineage: Bacteria; Pseudomonadati; Pseudomonadota; Gammaproteobacteria; Vibrionales; Vibrionaceae. The record is from RNAcentral.